CCCCUAGUAACUGCGAGUGAAGCGGGAAAAGCUCAAAUUUAAAAUCUGGCGGUCUAUGGCCGUCCGAGUUGUAGUCUGGAGAAGUGCUUUCUGCGUUGGACCGUGUACAAGUCUCUUGGAACAGAGCGUCAUAGAGGGUGAGAAUCCCGUCUUUGACACGGACUACCAGUGCUUUGUGAUGCGCUCUCAAAGAGUCGAGUUGUUUGGGAAUGCAGCUCAAAAUGGGUGGUAAAUUCCAUCUAAGGCUAAAUAUUGGCGAGAGACCGAUAGCGAACAAGUACCGUGAGGGAAAGAUGAAAAGCACUUUGGAAAGAGAGUUAAACAGUACGUGAAAUUGCUGAAAGGGAAACGCUUGAAGUCAGUCACGUCGGCCAGGACUCAGCCUUGCUUUUUUGCUCGUGCAUUUCUGGUGAUGGGUCAGCAUCAAUUUGAUGCUGGAAAAAGGCAGGGGGAAUGUGGCACAUUCGGGUGUGUUAUAGCCCUCUGUUGCAUACAGCAGUUGGGAUUGAGGAUCGCAGCACGCCUUUAUGGCCGGGGUUCGCCCACGUUCGUGCUUAGGAUGCUGGCAUAAUGGCUUUAAACGACCCGUCUUGAAACACGGACCAAGGAGUCUAACAUGCCUGCGAGUGUUUGGGUGGAAAACCCGAGCGCGUAAUGAAAGUGAAAGUUGGGAUCUCUGUCAUGGAGAGCACCGACGCCCGGACCUGAUCCUCGGUGAUGGCUCCGCGGUAGAGCAUGUAUGUUGGGACCCGAAAGAUGGUGAACUAUGCCUGAAUAGGGUGAAGCCAGAGGAAACUCUGGUGGAGGCUCGUAGCGAUUCUGACGUGCAAAUCGAUCGUCAAAUUUGGGUAUAGGGGCGAAAGACUAAUCGAACCAUC
RNAcentral lists this ribosomal RNA (878 nucleotides) under Fomitopsis tropica. RNAcentral describes it as "Antrodia tropica partial large subunit ribosomal RNA". It matches the Rfam family "Eukaryotic large subunit ribosomal RNA", at positions 77 to 944 of the family's 3401-position model. The record is from RNAcentral. Lineage: Eukaryota; Fungi; Basidiomycota; Agaricomycetes; Polyporales; Fomitopsidaceae.